GACGAACGCUGGCGGCGUGCUUAACACAUGCAAGUCGAACGGAAAGGCCCUGCUUUUGUGGGGUGCUCGAGUGGCGAACGGGUGAGUAACACGUGAGUAACCUGCCCUUGACUUUGGGAUAACUUCAGGAAACUGGGGCUAAUACCGGAUAGGAGCUCCUGCUGCAUGGUGGGGGUUGGAAAGGUUCGGCGGUUGGGGAUGGACUCGCGGCUUAUCAGCUUGUUGGUGGGGUAGUGGCUUACCAAGGCUUCGACGGGUAGCCGGCCUGAGAGGGUGACCGGCCACAUUGGGACUGAGAUACGGCCCAGACUCCUACGGGAGGCAGCAGUGGGGAAUAUUGCACAAUGGGCGGAAGCCUGAUGCAGCAACGCCGCGUGCGGGAUGACGGCCUUCGGGUUGUAAACCGCUUUCGCCUGUGACGAAGCGUGAGUGACGGUAAUGGGUAAAGAAGCACCGGCUAACUACGUG
This 468-nucleotide ribosomal RNA is filed under the name uncultured bacterium. RNAcentral describes it as "partial 16S ribosomal RNA". It matches the Rfam family "Bacterial small subunit ribosomal RNA", at positions 28 to 507 of the family's 1533-position model. The record is from RNAcentral.